Osmerus eperlanus (European smelt) is the source of this 3897-nucleotide long non-coding RNA. RefSeq lists it as uncharacterized. NCBI's taxonomy places the organism in Eukaryota, Metazoa, Chordata, Actinopteri, Osmeriformes, Osmeridae. The transcript has 3 exons. The record is from RefSeq and is a predicted model, not a curated record.
ACACUGGCAGCCACUUGUAGGGGUUGACAGUCACACAGAACAGUCCUGAGUAGGUCUGUGGGGGAGGAGAGUAUUUUUACUUCUUAAAUGAUCAUAUUCUACUCAGUAGGAACCUAUUUGUACGUUGUGUUACUCACGUAGAUCAUCCAGGCUGCAUAACGCUCUUUGAGGUUAAACAGCACAGCAGGCUCGUGCAGGAAGGUGAACAUCGCCAUGUCCUCAAUUUUAUCAAACUUUGGCGGGUUCUGGGGAUGGACGUCAACCUCCUUCACUGUUACUGUCUGAAAAAUAGAAUAGACAAAUUGUUUACAGAGUUAAAUAUCUUAAAUGGCAAAAACAACAAUCAAAUCAACCAUCUUGAAUUUUAAUCCUACAUGCAAUUUUUUGCACAAAUUUCUGUAAUGUACGUACCUUCCCAAACUCAGUUUCAGCUGUGACUUUGUCCCCAUCUCUACUGGUAAUUGAAGCCUUGACGUACUCAACCUCUGGGUCAGGCACAAAGCACUCCUUCUUCAUGUCAAAAGGACGAGUCUGGGCCUCCAGACGUUCCUUGUCUGACUUCCGCAGAAAAGAAGCUGCUGCCCCAAACUCUGCCAUCAAGGCGUCCCCCAUACUGAGAUCUGUUGGGGGAAAAAAGAUGAAUAGCAUCAAUAACUUGGAUAUAAAAACGUGUUCAUGUAGUUCACUGGUAAUGUUAGAAAUGUUCACAUCCUCCAUUCAGUUAUAAUAUAAAUCGUAUCAUGCUGCAUGUCUUCUAUUUAUAUUCCAAGAUUAGAAUAACCUGACAGUAGAAUAACCUGAUAGUAGAAUAACAUGACCAUAAUGGAGUAAACUUUGUUAACCCUGGUGUAAUCCCUCUCUAUAUUCUCACCUCAGAAAACCUUUAGGUUCUAUAAAUAAAACCUUUGCUGCUGCCUGUUUUCUAUAUUACAGAGGUUACUGAGUGUACCAAGGCUCUGUGCAGUAUAUAAUAGGUUCAUAUAAAUCAAUCAAAAUAACCUUGACUAGCAAAGGAGGGAGAGCACCCCGAUGAAGACAUAGCACCUUUAGGGGGCACUGCAAAAAACAUAGUUUGGAUACAUAUUUAUAAUAUUUGUGCUCUUACCUUAACCGCCGCUGAGUUGAGUUUGGAGAAAGGGUGUCUGCUGAGAAAAUAAUAGACAAACACCUAUAAUACACUGAACAGCUGUUUUCUAUUUGUUGAUAUUCAUCCAAGCACAGAUAACAUAACAGCUUUCCUUUUCUCUCAUACCUUUUGAUUUGUUCUGUCUUGUUCCCCUCCAGACAUGAAGGCCUCUUUAUAAAGGGGCUUGUUACCCUCUAUAAGGAAAACAAGCCAUGAAAUAAAUUAUUACUAAAUUAAAAACAUCUGUAUUUGGCUAUAGAGGAGUGUACUUCAGAUACCUAUAAGGCCUCAGUGGCUGUAGAGGAGGGGAGAGGAGCUUCGGGCAGCCGGCCAUGAUUUAACUCUUUAGUUUCUUUGGAGGAGUUUGUUGACGGCAACUAAAAUGCAGAUAUAUCUAUGAUAUUCUUCCACAUACUUCUAUUUGUGUAUUUUUUCAUCAAAAGGAGAUUGUUUUGUUUAUUUGCAUUUCAUUAAGAAGAUCAUGGAAAAACAUACUAUGGUUUGAAGUAUUCAAGUUCAUCAAAGUUUACCAAAGUGUUUGUUUUUAUGCUGUUGUGGGGGUUAGUUAAUGAUGGUGUCUUAUUUGUUAACAUGAGAAUGUUCGUAAAUUUAUAUUAGUGAAUGCACUUAAAUUGCAGGUACAUUCUGUCAUAGAUAGUGUCUAAGGCCAUCAAUUUCCGUUAACGAGGCUUGUUGCAUGAUUUAAACAACUGCAGCUGUCCUUUAUUGUUUUUCAAGGCAAGGUCAGCAUCCUGUUCCAUUGCAACAAAAGUGUGGCAGCUAUUGUAAGAAGAACAUUAUCUUGCCCACAUGGUGUUGCUUUCUUCCUUUUUAUCCUUUGGUACAAAAAUAGACCUGUGAAAUUGUUACUAGAUGCAAUCAAGUCUGCCUGAGCACUAGUUCAGUCUGUAUGUUCUGCAGCACACACCUUAUACCAGCCUUGUGAAACAGGAGCACUGGCGUGUGACAGGGAUGUGUCCCAACAGCAACACACCCAAACCUUCUUAACCGUAAAAUUCCAUUAACAUCUCUAUAGGCUAUCAAAUACUUUCAUGAUCAAAUCAGAUUUCUUUCAGUGUAUUCAAUGUGAAUUAACUGACUAAUAUGCCUGAAUCAUGUCUCUAACCGUGUCCUUUAGACAGCAUAGAGCUGAGGGAGCUGUUUAGUUAGGUUGUUGGUAAGGAAAGGAUUGUCAUUGGAGCCAAAAAGACCAUUGGUCUUGUUCUUGUGAAGGUAUCAGAGCUGUCAGUGUAUUACUGUGUGAGGCUGUGUAGAAGGUGAUGAUGUGGUGGCAGUCCCUGCUGAAGAGUGAUACCCUGUGUUAAGACUUCAAGGGGCAGAAAUGAGACCUCUUGACUUUCACAACUUCACACCUUGGUUUAUUGCUGGAACCCUUGAGGUUCCUUGAUUAACUUUUAUAGCUUAACAUACCACUCCAUAUGUUAACAAUGUAAAUAUUGGUAUGCUGUCAGUAAGCUGUACAGCCACUCAGGUGAUAAAGAUUGUAAAACAAACAAGGUUAUACUUCAUAGUACGCUGGGAGAUUGUAUUUCUUGAAUAUAGUGUUGAGAUGAACACUAUGGCUCUACUAUAUUCGUGAAAUAUAAUUGGAAAAUAUGUGUUCUUUGUGUCUUGGGUCGACCUUGACCCAACCCCCCCCCCCCACCUCCUCAUUGAAGCACCUUACUAAGUGUCAACAUCUGAGCCGUCUAUUCCAAGCACAACCUUUCUUUAUACCCCUCAUUCCCAGCUGUCCAGUCUCCACGUGUUAGCAGCGACGUGGCACCGAACACAAUGCAACUGGCAUGUUAAGACUGUAAGACCACAGGGAAGUGGACUCCUCUUUGUCUUUGCCAAUAUCAUUCUCCAUCAAGGUCGGAUGCUAUAUUUAUGCAUCUGGCCUCCACAAGCAGUGUGAACUGAACUGGAAUUUAAAGUUUAGUCAAUGUUUCUUUUUGACUAAUACUUUUUACUAAAUGGUUUUAUCUUAACUCAAAUAAUUGAUGAUUGAUUUUAUAUUUACUGUCCCUGUUGCAGCUGUCAGACUUCAGGUGAGGGAAUAUUUAUCACCAUGUGUCAGUGAGGUAAAAGGACCUUCUUGGACAACUAAGUCACUCACUCAUUCCUCUCCCAUGUGACUUGCAGAUUCUGAUUCUGGAAUGUGGAGACAGUGAAUUACUCUCUGUCAGGCAUAAUGGUCACAGCCCACCAGAGUCCAAGUCAAGUAUUAUACCUAUAAAUGGAAUCGCUUGGUCAGACACAGAAGUCAUUGGAUGGAGCCAUGUGAUACUCUGAAUUACACUGCACAGACAGAGGGUUUGACUUUAAUAUAAUUUUGAUGAUUUAUAUGAUUUCUGUAUGUAUACGUGAAUGUCUAAGUGGAUUGCUGAAUAACAAUGUUAUAAUCGUUUUCUGUAUAUGUGGACCAGUCCAUGAUUCUGCUCAUAUGUUUGCUUGUUAGUGUGUGCCUUUAGCGCUAACAAUCAAAACAGCACUUUGUAACAAUGGUUCCAGGACUGUAUAACCUGCACAAAAGCUGUAUUACUGUACCUCACUGUAUCAGUAAUAGACCAGUAAGGCCCUCUUUUUAUGUGUGUUUUUAUGUUGGUUAUAUUACAGGAUAUUGUGUUUUUUCUAUGAUGAUCAUUAGUUUACUUUUUGUUUUCAGUCUAAAGAAAGUUUAGACCAAAGUCAGCUUUAGUAAUUAACUUUUUUUUACCUUUUCUGUAGUACUCUUUAAAGAUUGAUCAUAACAUGGCCUGUAAUAAAAA